Molecule: ribosomal RNA, 464 nt
Filed under: uncultured bacterium
Lineage: Bacteria
Description: bacterial SSU rRNA
Rfam family: Bacterial small subunit ribosomal RNA
Source: RNAcentral
GACGAACGCUGGCGGCGUGCUUACCUUUUGCAAGUCGAGCGAUGAAGCACCUUCGGGUGUGGAUUAGCGGCGAACGGGUGAGGAACACGUGAGGAAUCUGCCUUCCACUCUGGGAUAACUCCGGGAAACCGGGGCUAAUACCGGAUACUUUCAACUGGCGGCAUCGCCGGUUGAAGAAAGUUUUUCGGUGGAAGAUGACCUCGCGGCCUAUCAGCUUGUUGGUGAGGUAAAGGCUCACCAAGGCGACAACGGGUAGCCGGCCUGAGAGGGCGACCGGCCACACUGGGACUGAGACACGGCCCAAACUCCUACGGGAGGCAGCAGUGGGGAAUAUUGGGCAAUGGAGGAAACUCUGACCCAGCGACGCCGCGUGAGGGAUGAAGGCCUUCGGGUUGUAAACCUCUUUCAGCAGGGAAUAAGCGAAAGUGAAGGUACCUGCAAAAAAAGCACCGGCUAACUAUGUG